Molecule: long non-coding RNA, 243 nt
Filed under: Salvia miltiorrhiza (redroot sage)
Lineage: Eukaryota; Viridiplantae; Streptophyta; Magnoliopsida; Lamiales; Lamiaceae
Description: long non-coding RNA (SMIL_LNC009670)
Source: RNAcentral
GCCCUGUACAGCGAGGGGUAGGCUCAGGCUUCCAGCUCUAAACUUGGGGAUGUUGAUUUACGGUUUAGGGAUUAACAACACCUCCGAGGCGCUGUUCGGACCGAGGUCAAGAUGAACAUUGCAAAGCUAAGUUUUCCAACUUUUUUCACUUUGUUGAUUUUUUGUGAAUUACCAACGUUUCUCUUACUAUGAUCCUAGUUGGUGUUGAAUUCAACACUCGAGUAUUGAUUAACUAAGAUAUGG